GAUGAACGCUAGCGGGAGGCUUAAUACAUGCAAGUCGAGGGGUAACAGGGGUUUCGGCCCGCUGACGACCGGCGAACGGGUGAGUAACGCGUACGCAACUUACCUCCAAGGAAGGGACAGCCCUGGGAAACUGGGAUUAAUACCUUAUAGUAUUACGUUAUCGCAUGGUAAUGUAAUUAAAGAAUUUCGCUUGGAGAUGGGCGUGCGUCUUAUUAGCUAGUUGGUGAGGUAGUAGCUCACCAAGGCGACGAUAAGUAGGGGGCGUGAGAGCGUGAUCCCCCACACGGGUACUGAGACACGGACCCGACUCCUACGGGAGGCAGCAGUAAGGAAUAUUGGACAAUGGGCGCAAGCCUGAUCCAGCCAUCCCGCGUGCAGGAUGACGGCCCUAUGGGUUGUAAACUGCUUUUACAUAGGAAGAAACGCCUGGAUUUAUCUGGGCCUGACGGUACUAUGGGAAUAAGCACCGGCUAAUUCCG
RNAcentral lists this ribosomal RNA (479 nucleotides) under uncultured Saprospiraceae bacterium. RNAcentral describes it as "bacterial SSU rRNA". It matches the Rfam family "Bacterial small subunit ribosomal RNA", at positions 28 to 505 of the family's 1533-position model. The record is from RNAcentral. Lineage: Bacteria; Pseudomonadati; Bacteroidota; Saprospiria; Saprospirales; Saprospiraceae.